RNAcentral lists this long non-coding RNA (1081 nucleotides) under Scleropages formosus (Asian bonytongue). RNAcentral's name for it is "lncRNA (ENSSFOG00015029080.1)". Lineage: Eukaryota; Metazoa; Chordata; Actinopteri; Osteoglossiformes; Osteoglossidae. The record is from RNAcentral.
GCCUCCGUCAGAUGGCGCCUGGCAAAAGCGUGCGCGGACUCCAAACGUCGCCGCAGUUGCCGAAGGUACUCCGGACCCACUUCACCCCCCACCUCGGGCUCCGGCGGGCUGCCGAAAGCCAAGUCCACCGGAGUCCUCAGCUCGCGUCCGAACAUGAGCAGGGCAGGGGUGCAGCCGGUGGACUCCUGGACAGCAGAGCGGCACGCCCACAGGACCAGGGGCAGGUGUCUGUCCCAGUCGCGCUGAUGUCGGGAGGUAAGCACAGAGAGCUGCGUGGUGAGUGUCCGGUUGAAACGCUCCACCAGCCCGUCGCUCUGUGGAUGAAGGGGCGUGGUGCGCGUCUUCCGCACCCCCAGCCGGUCGCAUACCUCUUUCAUAACUUGCGACUCAAAGUUCCUGCCCUGGUCACUGUGCAGGUUCUCUGGCGCCCCAAAACGGCAGAACAUCUCCUCCACCAACCGCUCCGCUGUGGUCGCGGCACUCUGGUCCGGUACCGCAUACGCCUCGGGCCACUUGGUGAAGUAGUCCAUGGCCACGAGCACGUAGCGGUUUCCCCGAUCAGUGCGGGGAAAGGGUCCCAGCACAUCCACGCCCACGCGCUCCAUUGGGGCGCCCGACUGAAGUCGUUGCAGGGGGGCAUGCGACCGGUCACUGGGGCCCUUACGCGCCGUGCAGGCAUCGCAGCAGUGCACGAACAGCUCCACGUCUUGGCGACACCCCGCCCAGUGAAACCGCUGGCGCAGCCGGUGCAGCGUCUUCGCCACGCCGAAGUGCCCAAUGCCAGCGGGACCAUGUACUCGCUGCAACACGUCUUCCUUGAGGCUACGAGGGACGAGGAGCUGCCACAUGACUUGGCCGGGCACUGGCCCCUCCCAACGCCGAUACAGCAGCCCCCCCCUCACCUCAAGGCUGUCCCACUGUGAGCAGUAUGACUUGACGGUGGGUCCGUGUGGGGCCACAGCAGUCCAGGGUGGGCGCUGCCCCGACUGCAGGAAGCCCCGCACCACCGCCAGCUCUGGAUCGGCUUCCUGGGCCCGGCGGAACAGCUCUGUGUCGUCGGCGGAUCCCCCAUCACUCGCCG